UAUGAAUCAUGGAGAAUAAUCCAACCGAAGUAAAGAGGCCAAAAAUCAUCGUCCGACUGGUUGAUGCUUCUGGAUACAAAUAGGUGAGGCGGUGAUUAUCUAGAUUGCAUAAACAAAUGGAAAGCUUUAGUAGGGAUGGACUAAAAUUGAAAUCCCCAAAAUAAAAUCCUUACCUACCUAAGUCUGAAAUCAGCAAACAAAACCCAAGAAUAGAAACAAACAAAUCGCAUAAAUCAAAACUACAGAAUGAAAACAUAGGAAUUCAGAAACUAACACAACUCUUUCUUUAUACUCUCUAGCUUUCAAGAAUCGUCCAUCUUCGAUAUCUCCUCUGUUUCGAACUGGGUCACAGAGGAAGCCGAGAGAGCAGGUUGGUUGGAGGGCUUCUACGGUGAGGAUUGGUGGGUGCAAUGAAAUUUGUGAACAACUAAUUGGGAGGUCGAGAAGGCAGAAGUAUAUGAAGCAUGAAAAAUGAAUAGUGAUUAAAAUAGGAAAAGGGGGUACCGGCACCUGAGAUGUUUUUUAAAACCAGAAUCGAGCCCUAAUCUGACACGAACUGAAGCAGACGUAGCGAUGGCGGUGUUCAAUCGCUUCUUACAAACUCUCGGAACAACAGAGGGUGGUAGCGGAGCCGAUCGAUGUUUUUCAGGAACAUCAACAUGCUGAAGAGGUUGGAGGUGGCAGAAUCGAGCCCUAAUCUGACAUGAACUGAAGCAGACGUGGCGAUGGCAGUGCUCAAUCGCUUCUUACAAAGUCUCGGAACGACAGAUGGUGGUAACGGCGUCGAUCGAUGCUUUUUAGGAACAUCGAAAUGCUCAAGAAGUUGGAGGUGGCUCAUCCCACCAAAGGUUAGUGGAGUUUAGAUCGUGUGUGGUUGAUGGCAAGAAAGGUACGAAGAUAAAAAAAAAAUAUAUAUGAGAAGAAUCCAG
Molecule: long non-coding RNA, 929 nt
Filed under: Lactuca sativa (garden lettuce)
Lineage: Eukaryota; Viridiplantae; Streptophyta; Magnoliopsida; Asterales; Asteraceae
Description: long non-coding RNA (LSAT_LNC000958)
Source: RNAcentral